RNAcentral lists this ribosomal RNA (497 nucleotides) under uncultured bacterium. RNAcentral's name for it is "partial 16S ribosomal RNA". It matches the Rfam family "Bacterial small subunit ribosomal RNA", at positions 28 to 507 of the family's 1533-position model. The record is from RNAcentral.
GAUGAACGCUGGCGGCGUGCCUAAUACAUGCAAGUCGAGCGAACAGACGAGGAGCUUGCUCCUCUGACGUUAGCGGCGGACGGGUGAGUAACACGUGGAUAACCUACCUAUAAGACUGGGAUAACUUCGGGAAACCGGAGCUAAUACCGGAUAAUAUAUUGAACCGCAUGGUUCAAUAGUGAAAGACGGUUUUGCUGUCACUUAUAGAUGGAUCCGCGCCGCAUUAGCUAGUUGGUAAGGUAACGGCUUACCAAGGCGACGAUGCGUAGCCGACCUGAGAGGGUGAGCGGCCACACUGGAACUGAGACACGGUCCAGACUCCUACGGGAGGCAGCAGUAGGGAAUCUUCCGCAAUGGGCGAAAGCUUGACGGAGCAACGCCGCGUGAGUGAUGAAGGUCUUCGGAUCGUAAAACUCUGUUAUUAGGGAAGAACAAAUGUGUAAGUAACUAUGCACGUCUUGACGGUGCCUAAUCAGAAGGCCACGGCUAACUACGUG